ACCGGCAGCUAGCUCUCUGCAACUCUCACCUGGUUGCCCACUAAAGCUAAGCAGGGCUGCGCCUGGUCAGUACUUUGAUGAGACCACAUGGGAAAGCUAGGUUGCUGCCAGAA
Molecule: ribosomal RNA, 113 nt
Filed under: Danio rerio (zebrafish)
Lineage: Eukaryota; Metazoa; Chordata; Actinopteri; Cypriniformes; Danionidae
Source: RNAcentral